GGAGCGGUGGCCAAGUGGUAAGGCGUCGGUUUCGUAAACCGAAGAGCGCGGGUUCGAUGCCCGUCCGUGCCC
Transfer RNA from Lepisosteus oculatus (spotted gar), 72 nucleotides. It matches the Rfam family "tRNA". Rfam says of the family: Transfer RNA (tRNA) molecules are approximately 80 nucleotides in length. Their secondary structure includes four short double-helical elements and three loops (D, anti-codon, and T loops). Lineage: Eukaryota; Metazoa; Chordata; Actinopteri; Semionotiformes; Lepisosteidae. The record is from Rfam.